RNAcentral lists this ribosomal RNA (519 nucleotides) under uncultured bacterium. RNAcentral's name for it is "bacterial SSU rRNA". It matches the Rfam family "Bacterial small subunit ribosomal RNA", at positions 8 to 518 of the family's 1533-position model. The record is from RNAcentral.
AGAGUUGAUUAUGGCUCAGGAUGAACGCUAGCUACAGGCUUAACACAUGCAAGUCGAGGGGCAGCGGGAAGAAGCUUGCUUCUUGCCGGCGACCGGCGCACGGGUGAGUAACGCGUAUCCAACCUGGCCCUUAGUAGGGGAUAGCCCGGCGAAAGUCGGAUUAAUACCCUAUGUUCUUCGUAGAAGACAUCUGAAAUGAAGCAAAGAUUUAUCGCUAAGGGAUGGGGAUGCGUCUGAUUAGGUAGUCGGCGGGGUAACGGCCCACCGAGCCAUCGAUCAGUAGGGGUUCUGAGAGGAAGGUCCCCCACAUUGGUACUGAGACACGGACCAAACUCCUACGGGAGGCAGCAGUGAGGAAUAUUGGUCAAUGGGCGCGAGCCUGAAACCCAGCCAAGUAGCGUGAGGGAAGACUGCCCUAUGGGUUGUAAACCUCUUUUGCCGGGGAAUAAAGUGACGUACGUGUACGUUUUUGUAUGUACCCGGAGAAUAAGGACCGGCUAAUUCCGUGCCAGCCGCGGC